RNAcentral lists this long non-coding RNA (1050 nucleotides) under Acanthaster planci (crown-of-thorns starfish). Its description in RNAcentral is "uncharacterized LOC110975633, transcript variant X2". The record is from RNAcentral. Lineage: Eukaryota; Metazoa; Echinodermata; Asteroidea; Valvatida; Acanthasteridae.
GUCAAAAUAUUAGUUAGUUUGAGAAAGUUGAUUUUGUUUCCUUUUUAUAGGAACAGGGUGCUAAUGCCGGUAAUGAACCCCAGAAUCUGGGCGGACCGAUUAGACAUACACUCACAGGACACAACACGUGGGUACGGUUGCGCACGUGCACGUUUAGCGACGGCAGUGCACUACGACUUGUACGAGCGCAUGGUGGUCGCUUUAAACCGUUUAUUUUCGCGACUUUGUAUAUCAUCAAGACAAAACGUAAGAAAUUGGUCUCUUAGGAAUCGCUGGCACACCUACCAUGCCUACGUGAUAUAGAUUUUUCAGCAGAGGUUUGGCAGUGAAGUCAUGAAAACUAGAUGGGGGAGGCGUACUCAAUAACAGGUCAAAUAUACUGGAUGUACACUAUUCUGAGGUCACACACUGGUACAUUGCAGUCACAUAAAGGUCUCCCUUGUAAUUGAAUGCACCCUAUAUGCCUGCAUUGCAUUUGGCACACUUUGAUCCUGGACCCCACGCCUGCAUACACACCUGGCAGCUGGCAAUCAGGUCCAAGCAAGACGGUCAGAUUGUGGAAUCAAAGAGGCCAUCAGUCUACAACCUUUAGAAGAGGAAUUUUAAAAAAAUGGGAACUUGUUGGCAAGUGGAUAGAAGCAGAGAUGGCAGUGAGAGGGGAAGAACGUGCUGUCCAUCCAGGAGAAGUCUGUCUUCAGCAGUGACUGUAUGUUGUCUUUUCAAAUAUGAUAAGAUGAUGUUGAGGCCAUACAUUGAUGUCACAGACACAUGCACAAAGUAACUUCAAGGCAAUAUUGAAGAAUUCGAAUAUAGACGCUCAAGCCAAUAGGGGUCCUAAGAUACUACCUGACCAAAUCGCCAUCAGGUUUGACAACUUGGCAAUCACUAUUGUGCAUUUAAUUGUGUGUGUUCAUUUGACCCUAAAAGAAUCAGGGAGUAGAUAGAAUUUGCCCCUCAAGAUAUUUUCUGAUAUCGCCACAGUACAGUAGUUGGGCCUUCAGGAGUUUUUCAGUAACUCUUUUGUGGUCUUUUUGACACUAAUUCUGUGAA